This is a long non-coding RNA of Amphibalanus amphitrite, 1437 nucleotides long. RefSeq lists it as uncharacterized. The transcript has 3 exons. The record is from RefSeq and is a predicted model, not a curated record. Lineage: Eukaryota; Metazoa; Arthropoda; Thecostraca; Balanomorpha; Balanidae.
GCGAAUGCGCCACUGUGCUUUACACUUGUGGAGUCGGUGCGCGGUGUCGGUCCGAGGGACUGAAUUUCGGUGAAUUUGAUAGCAAUUGAUUUGAAUUUUGCUCAGAUGGGUUGUGAAUUUAUAUUCAGCAAGUGUCACAAACAUGGAAAGGCAAGUUUACAAAGGACAGGAGACUUAGAAAGGCUUCAAUUGACGUAGCCGAAGAGAGGCGAGAAGCCGAAGAUAGACCGACUCCAAACGGUGCCCAGUGCAAUCAUGCUUCUGGUGCGGAGUUGUCAGGAUGGAGUCCGAGGAAUCAAGGAAGGCAGAGGACCUGCGUAUGAAGGAACCAGCCCUGUGGAUGAAGAUCUGAGGUGCAUACAGAGGGAUCCCACUGAAAGACCAGGUGCAAUGCUGCAUUGAUAAGAUCCAGAUUCAAGAGCAUGGAUGCUACCAGAUCCUGUGAUUUGAAGUUACCUACCAGUGUCACUGCUGCUACAAAUGACAUCAGCAACACUUCCUUCGGUGAAAGUUUAGAGGAGCAAACAGUUGGUACUCUGUGUAGUCAAGCAGUGGAGUUUUGCCACAAUCAUGAAGUUGAUUAAGGUGUCAAUUUUGUUUUGCUCUGGCUUCUGGGACACCUCGGAUCUACAUUGCAACCUAUGCUAGUGUUCAACAUUUCGUGUCGUAGUAUCACUGAUGCAAAGCGUGUUGCAUCAUACACAAAUGAGAGCCAGCAAAUUGGCAGAUAUUUUCUAGUGAUAGAGAACUGCAUAGGUGAUAAGUGGUGAAUGGUAGGGCUCAGCCACUCAGCUGCUUCCUUCAAAAGCUAUCAAUCAGCUCUAGAAGAGCUGUCGUCAUAGCAAUGCUUCAUAUGUGAAGGAUACUUGCCUGAACAGAACAUUGUGGAUUUGUUAAUUAAGUACCUCUUUAUUACAAGUUUGUGCCCAUUACAAGCCAAGCUUAGUUUACUUAGUUCGUUGCAAGUUUUCCAGGCAGCCUUCACACUUGUGUCGCUGAAUAUUAAACUUUGACUGAUAGACCGACGAGAUAUUGUCCCUUUCGCAUCAGAUUGUAAUCAGUCAGUCGUGUUGGUAGAAGGUACAGUCUGCCUUUAAAGUACCGCGCAAAGUGACGGUGGAUCCAUCAAGCCUGACCGAGGAAGGGCCUGCUAUUAUAAUUUGAAAGUCACCGAACCAAUUGACCUGGGGAACGGACGAGGAUGUCAUAUAGAGCCACGCAGAAAUCGCCGGUGAUUCGUUGCCCAUCAUUACAGAAUGAACGCAUGCCGGAUGAAGGGUUAAGUCAAUAAUCUGUACAAACUACAGGGAUGUGAUUGACUUAUCUGACAGUGACGAGCGCUAGAGGUCAACUUAAGACCGUAGGUAUGCGUUCUUGUCAUGGAAUGUGUGCUGUAAAUCGAUUGUUUCAUGCGUGUGAAUAUAUGUCUGAAUGUAA